Molecule: non-coding RNA, 125 nt
Organism: Hordeum vulgare subsp. vulgare (domesticated barley)
Lineage: Eukaryota; Viridiplantae; Streptophyta; Magnoliopsida; Poales; Poaceae
Source: Rfam
CUUCUCCUCCCUCCGUCCGGAAAUACUUGUCAAAGAAAUGGAUAAAAAUGGAUGUAUCUAGAACUAAAAUACGUCUAGAUACAUUCAUUUUUUCGACAAAUAUUUCCGGACGGAGGGAGUAGUAA